RNAcentral lists this ribosomal RNA (497 nucleotides) under uncultured bacterium. RNAcentral's name for it is "partial 16S ribosomal RNA". It matches the Rfam family "Bacterial small subunit ribosomal RNA", at positions 28 to 507 of the family's 1533-position model. The record is from RNAcentral.
GAUGAACGCUGGCGGCGUGCCUAAUACAUGCAAGUCGAGCGAACAGACGAGGAGCUUGCUCCUCUGACGUUAGCGGCGGACGGGUGAGUAACACGUGGAUACCCUACCUAUAAGACUGGGAUAACUUCGGGAAACCGGAGCUAAUACCGGAUAACAUGUUGACCCGCAUGGUUCAACAGUGAAAGACGGUCUUGCUGUCACUUAUAGAUGGAUCCGCGCCGCAUUAGCUAGUUGGUAAGGUAACGGCUUACCAAGGCAACGAUGCGUAGCCGACCUGAGAGGGUGAUCGGCCACACUGGAACUGAGACACGGACCAGACUCCUACGAGAGGCAGCAGUAGGGUAUCUUCCGCAAUGGGCGAAAGCCUGGCGGAGCAGCGCCGCGUGAGUGAAGAAGGUCUUCGGUUCGUAAAACUCUGUUAUUAGGUAAGAACAAAUGUGUAAGUAACUAUGCACGUCUUGACGGUACCUGAUCAGAAAGCCACGGCUAACUACGUG